RNAcentral lists this ribosomal RNA (319 nucleotides) under uncultured Bacteroidota bacterium. Its description in RNAcentral is "bacterial SSU rRNA". It matches the Rfam family "Bacterial small subunit ribosomal RNA", at positions 28 to 351 of the family's 1533-position model. Lineage: Bacteria; Pseudomonadati; Bacteroidota. The record is from RNAcentral.
GAUGAACGCUAGCGGCAGGCUUAACACAUGCAAGUCGAGGGGUAGUCUAGCAAUAGAUGAGACCGGCGCACGGGUGCGUAACGCGUAUGCAAUCUACCUUUUACAGAGGGAUAGCCCCAGAGAAAUUUGGAUUAAUACCUCAUAGCAUAGCAGCUUCGCAUGAAGUCACUAUUAAAGUUCCAACGGUAAAAGAUGAGCAUGCGUCCUAUUAGCUAGAUGGUAAGGUAACGGCUUACCAUGGCUACGAUAGGUAGGGGUCCUGAGAGGGAGAUCCCCCACACUGGUACUGAGACACGGACCAGACUCCUACGGGAGGCAG